RNAcentral lists this unclassified non-coding RNA (231 nucleotides) under uncultured bacterium. Its description in RNAcentral is "partial contains 16S ribosomal RNA and 16S-23S ribosomal RNA intergenic spacer region". It matches the Rfam family "Bacterial small subunit ribosomal RNA", at positions 47 to 273 of the family's 1533-position model. The record is from RNAcentral.
CUUAACACAUGCAAGUCAGGGGGAAAGGGGUAGCAAUAUCCCGAGUAUACCGGCGCACGGGUGAGUAACACGUAGGCAAUCUGCCUUUAGGACGGGGACAACUCCGCGAAAGCGGAGCUAAUACCCGAUAAUGCAGCGGCACCGCAUGGUGAUGUUGUUAAAAGCCGAAAGGCGCCUGGAGAUGAGCCUGCGUCCUAUCACGCUUGUUGGUGGGGUAACGGCCUACCAAGG